UACGUAGGGUGCGAGCGUUAAUCGGAAUUACUGGGCGUAAAGCGUGCGCAGGCGGUUUUGUAAGCCAGGUGUGAAAUCCCCGGGCUCAACCUGGGAAUGGCAUUUGGGACUGCAAGGCUGGAGUGCGGCAGAGGAGACUGGAAUUCCUGGUGUAGCAGUGAAAUGCGUAGAUAUCAGGAGGAACACCGAUGGCGAAGGCAGGUCUCUGGGCCGUUGCUGACGCUGAGGCGCGACAGCGUGGGGAGCAAACAGG
RNAcentral lists this ribosomal RNA (253 nucleotides) under uncultured bacterium. RNAcentral describes it as "partial 16S ribosomal RNA". It matches the Rfam family "Bacterial small subunit ribosomal RNA", at positions 524 to 776 of the family's 1533-position model. The record is from RNAcentral.